GAGGAUUUAGCUUAAUUAAAGUGUUUGAUUUGCAUUCAAUUGAU
This 44-nucleotide transfer RNA is filed under the name Balaena mysticetus (bowhead whale). RNAcentral's name for it is "partial tRNA-Ala". Lineage: Eukaryota; Metazoa; Chordata; Mammalia; Artiodactyla; Balaenidae. The record is from RNAcentral.